UGGUAAUGGAGAAUUGAGGGUAUAAGAUUAUACUGACUUAGAUUUUAUAUCUGACCUUGAUGAUUGAAAGUCAACAUCAGAUAGUAUUUUUUUUGUUCAUCGAUAGUGCUGUAAGAUGGAAGAGUUCUAAGCAAUCUGUUAUUGCAGACUCCAUCAUGGAAGUAGAAUACAUAGCCGCAUCGGAAGUUGCUAAGGUGGCAUUCUGAUUCAAGAAGUUCGUUGCGGAGCUAGGUGUGAUGCCAUCAGAUACCAUCCUCCUCUUCUACGAUAACAAUGAUGUC
RNAcentral lists this long non-coding RNA (281 nucleotides) under Elaeis guineensis (African oil palm). Its description in RNAcentral is "long non-coding RNA (EGUI_LNC058016)". The record is from RNAcentral. Lineage: Eukaryota; Viridiplantae; Streptophyta; Magnoliopsida; Arecales; Arecaceae.